Molecule: ribosomal RNA, 207 nt
Filed under: uncultured prokaryote
Description: partial 16S ribosomal RNA
Source: RNAcentral
UUCCAAGUAUCGGCAACAGCUUUAUCAAUACCAUGAAAAAUAUCAACCACACCAGAAGCAGCAUCAGUGACGACAUUAGAAAUAUCCUUUGCAGUAGCGCCAAUAUGAGAAGAGCCAUACCGCUGAUUCUGCGUUUGCUGAUGAACUAAGUCAACCUCAGCACUAACCUUGCGAGUCAUUUCUUUGAUUUGGUCAUUGGUAAAAUAC